Non-coding RNA from Helianthus annuus (common sunflower), 143 nucleotides. The record is from Rfam. NCBI's taxonomy places the organism in Eukaryota, Viridiplantae, Streptophyta, Magnoliopsida, Asterales, Asteraceae.
GAAGCAAGGAUAGUGUGUAUCGGCUUAGUGUUAAAUUGGUGCACUUUGCUCGAAAGAUUUUCUUGCAAUAAAUAAGUGGACGGUGGGCAGUUGUGUUCCAUUUUUUUCUAUUGGAAUCUUCAACAAUCAUCUUCCCUAUAUCU